Molecule: non-coding RNA, 360 nt
Organism: Dermacentor andersoni
Lineage: Eukaryota; Metazoa; Arthropoda; Arachnida; Ixodida; Ixodidae
Source: RefSeq, a predicted model, not a curated record
ACAAGGUCUCUUGAGCGAAGCAGUUUCUCAUGUACCGCGGCGGGCGCAAUGCUGCUGCCCAGGAUCUCUGGCCACCGGGACAAUCAUAGAGGACAUCAAAAAAACCUUAGACAGAUUGAGGGGGAUGGCAAUAGGAAGAAAGGUGCUGCAGCUGCCCAAAAUCGACGUUGACGUCUACAUUGACGCAGACAGUCCUCUCGCCGUCAAUUUCUCACGUUGCCCUUUCGAGACGGACCUAUGCAUCGUGGAGUGCUACAAUAAAAACAAGACAAAGCCCAUCAGAGGGCACUGCGGAGGAAUCUUAUGGUUCAAGUGCGUCUGUGAAGGAGAUUACAAGAAAUAAAAACGAGGUACUCGCAA